Long non-coding RNA from Manacus vitellinus (golden-collared manakin), 426 nucleotides. RefSeq lists it as uncharacterized. The transcript has 5 exons. NCBI's taxonomy places the organism in Eukaryota, Metazoa, Chordata, Aves, Passeriformes, Pipridae. The record is from RefSeq and is a predicted model, not a curated record.
CUCCCCGCGGCGCACGGGAACAGCAUGGCGGCACAGCUGUGUGCGAGCCUGGCACGAUGUCAGGAAAGGAUUAAAACACUCAUCUGGCUGGGGACCUGAUUUAUCUACUGGACUGACAGCACAGCUGCACAAUGGAGGAAAUGGUCCUGCAGAGUCCUGGGGCUGCUGUUGCCCAAACACAGCUUUGGCAAGAGGGCAGCUGCUAAGCUAGACUUAAGCUGCUCUAGAAGCAACAGAAUAAAGAUUGUUUUGGACUGAGUGUCACAGAUGGCCACUGAUAAGUGACUUGUGUAACCACAGGCUCCUCCUCGAUGCUCAGGGGUUGCUGCAACCACACCAUAGGAUCUGACCUACAGGUGGCUGGAUGAAAAAGUGAUUCCCUGGUUUCUUCUGUUCCAGAAUAAAAUAAAUUUAAAUUAUGGGAAA